AUUGGACAAUACAACGUGUGGAUUAUCACAUUGUUUUACUACAAUUUGAUGAACUCCCAAAACAAACGAAGUUCAAGGAUUUUUUGGACAGCAGAGUCACCUACAUCUAUGGUGAGUUUUGUUCUAUUAUAAAUAACUCUCGUUAAGUGUUAGGAGUAAGAAUGUAAUGACUGUUUUCGCAAGUUCUAAACCAUUGGCGGGAAAACAAGUUAUAGAAACAGAGCUUGAAAUAAACAGCGUUGUCCUGAGAUGAAAUACCUACAGUAACCCUUGUUUCUUCGUGUGUCCACAAGUUUGGUUGCUUUCUAUUUUUUGUUUCUUUGUUUAUCCUCAAUUUGGGAUGUUCGCAUAUCAACAGUUUAACAGGUGUGGUAACAUCGUUAGCUAACUUGUCUAAAUUGUGUUUCUUAGGGUAUCAACAAGUUUGAAUUUUAUAAUAUGGGCUUACUCCUUGUAACUUUUAUCAACUGAUACGUAACGUUGGCUAAAUCGUGUUUCUUUGUGUAACGUUAUCCACAUGUGGACUUGUUUCAAUUCCGUUAAUGAGGUGUCUGUGUAUCCACAUUGUUUUUAGCUAGCCUGUGUGUCUUAUGCUGCCGUUUUUUUUAACUUAUUUUAUAAACAUUGCUUUCAGGUGAUGCCGUUUUCUGUAGUAUUGUUCCCGGAGGAGGAUGACUGUGUGGCAGCAGUUCCACGCCAGUACUCCAAGGCACCAGAGAGGUACUCCAUGCCACCAUGUAAAGGAUGGCUACAUAAGUGUGGGUUCAUUCACUUAACCCAGAUGCUUAACUUGUUAUUAAAGCAUGUUUCUUCCAAUUUAAUUUGUCAAUUUCAAUUUAUUUUUAAGGGCAAAAAGGCAGAGGUAGGGGGACGUUUUAGCUCUGCACAAGAAGAACAUUUGGAGAAGAUCAAGUGGCUGACUGAAGAGAAGGUCGAGCUGAGGGCACAGCU
Molecule: long non-coding RNA, 951 nt
Organism: Esox lucius (northern pike)
Lineage: Eukaryota; Metazoa; Chordata; Actinopteri; Esociformes; Esocidae
Source: Ensembl